AAGGCACCAUCUUUGAAGCAGGAAGUGAGCCUUCACCAGACAGCAAAUCUACCGGCAUCUUGAUCUCGGACUUCCCAGCCUCCAGAAUUAGCAACUCCGCAGGACUCAAAGUACAUUCCCUGGUUACUAACAAAGACAUCACAACCACCCUGACUACAUCUUUGGCAGACCACAAGAGGGCACCAAACUUCAUCUUUCCGGCUGAGAAAAACAGCAUCUGGGCAUUGCGAAGUACAAAAUGAAGAGGUGGCCAAAGGAACAAGUUGUUAUUGUUUGUCUUUGUUCCCUAAUAAAAUUAGAAACAUAUCUUUAUAUUA
RNAcentral lists this long non-coding RNA (317 nucleotides) under Pongo abelii (Sumatran orangutan). RNAcentral describes it as "lincRNA". Lineage: Eukaryota; Metazoa; Chordata; Mammalia; Primates; Hominidae. The record is from RNAcentral.